CGCUGGCGGCGUGCUUACACAUGCAAGUCGAACGGGAUCCCUGGCAGCUUGCUGCCGGGGUGAGAGUGGCGAACGGGUGAGUAAUGCGUGACCGACCUGCCCCAUGCACCGGAAUAGCUCCUGGAAACGGGUGGUAAUGCCGGAUGUUCCACAUGAGCGCAUGCGAGUGUGGGAAAGGCUUUUUGCGGCAUGGGAUGGGGUCGCGUCCUAUCAGCUUGUUGGUGGGGUAACGGCCUACCAAGGCGUUGACGGGUAGCCGGCCUGAGAGGGCGACCGGCCACAUUGGGACUGAGAUACGGCCCAGACUCCUACGGGAGGCAGCAGUGGGGAAUAUUGCACAAUGGGCGCAAGCCUGAUGCAGCGACGCCGCGUGCGGGAUGGAGGCCUUCGGGUUGUAAACCGCUUUUGUUCAAGGGCAAGGCACGGUCUUUGGCCGUGUUGAGUGGAUUGUUCGAAUAAGCACCGGCUAACUUCGUGCCAGCAGCCGCGG
This 490-nucleotide ribosomal RNA is filed under the name Bifidobacterium pseudolongum subsp. pseudolongum. RNAcentral describes it as "bacterial SSU rRNA". It matches the Rfam family "Bacterial small subunit ribosomal RNA", at positions 34 to 520 of the family's 1533-position model. The record is from RNAcentral. Lineage: Bacteria; Bacillati; Actinomycetota; Actinomycetes; Bifidobacteriales; Bifidobacteriaceae.